RNAcentral lists this unclassified non-coding RNA (219 nucleotides) under uncultured Thelephoraceae. RNAcentral's name for it is "sequence contains ITS2". The record is from RNAcentral. Lineage: Eukaryota; Fungi; Basidiomycota; Agaricomycetes; Thelephorales; Thelephoraceae.
ACACCUCAACCCCCGUGGUUCGCCACGAUGGGCUUGGACUUUGGAGGUUUUGCUGGCCCCCCUGUGGUCGGCUCCUCUCAAAUGAAUCAGCUUACCAGUGUUUGGUGGCGUCGCAGGUGUGAUAACUAUCUACGCUUGUGACCGUCUGCCAUGCGACCUUUGACGAGGGUUUGCUGGGGCUUACAGAUGUCUUUCCCGAGUGAAGACAGCUUUUUGAUC